AUAUAAGCGUAUAGAAAUUCCGACAAUGACAGACGGAAUCCAAAAAGGAAUAAAAGAAUAUUACCUACGAAUGGUUAUGAUUAAUAUGUUAAAAAUAUCUCAAAUAAAAACAAACGGGUUAUGAUUAAUCUGUAAAAAAAAAUAAUAUUCCCAACGAAUGGUUGUGAUUAAUUUGUUAAAAAUAUCUCAAAUCAAUAAGAACGGUUAUGAUCAUCUAUUAAAUCUCUACUAUAUAAAAUCUAUUCUCUACAAAUGCAUAUGAUCAAUUUGUUAAAAAAAAAAUCUCAAAUAAGAACAGCUAUGAUCAAUUUAUUAAAAAAUAGUAUUCCUAUCCAUCUAUAAAUUCAAUCCUACGAACAAUUAUAAUCAAUUUGUUAAAAAAUACCUCAAAUAAAACAAACUGUUAUAAUCAAUUUGUAAAAAAAAAAAACAUUCCUAUUUAUCUAUUUUACAUUAAAAUUUGCAUUUAAAUUAUGAAAUUAAAUUUAAUUUUU
This 494-nucleotide long non-coding RNA is filed under the name Ananas comosus (pineapple). RNAcentral's name for it is "long non-coding RNA (ACOM_LNC008958)". The record is from RNAcentral. Lineage: Eukaryota; Viridiplantae; Streptophyta; Magnoliopsida; Poales; Bromeliaceae.